This 479-nucleotide ribosomal RNA is filed under the name uncultured bacterium. RNAcentral's name for it is "bacterial SSU rRNA". It matches the Rfam family "Bacterial small subunit ribosomal RNA", at positions 330 to 801 of the family's 1533-position model. The record is from RNAcentral.
ACCGUACUCCUACGGGAGGCAGCAGUGGGGAAUUUUGGACAAUGGGGGCAACCCUGAUCCAGCAAUGCCGCGUGAGUGAAGAAGGCCUUCGGGUUGUAAAGCUCUUUUGUCAGGGAAGAAACGGUAGUAGCUAAUAUCUAUUACUAAUGACGGUACCUGAAGAAUAAGCACCGGCUAACUACGUGCCAGCAGCCGCGGUAAUACGUAGGGUGCAAGCGUUAAUCGGAAUUACUGGGCGUAAAGCGUGCGCAGGCGGUUGUGUAAGUCAGAUGUGAAAUCCCCGGGCUCAACCUGGGAAUUGCAUUUGAGACUGAUCGGCUAGAGUGUGUCAGAGGGGGGUAGAAUUCCACGUGUAGCAGUGAAAUGCGUAAAUAUGUGGAGGAAUACCGAUGGCGAAGGCAGCCCCCUGAGAUAACACUGACGCUCAUGCACGAAAGCGUGGGGAUCGAACAGGAUUAGAUACCCGAGUAGUCCUUGAC